Molecule: long non-coding RNA, 607 nt
Organism: Rhododendron vialii
Lineage: Eukaryota; Viridiplantae; Streptophyta; Magnoliopsida; Ericales; Ericaceae
Exons: 2
Source: RefSeq, a predicted model, not a curated record
GAUUCAAAUCAGAAAUAAAAGAAAACCGUCAAAUUAUGAUCGUACUUUAACACCAUCAAUGCUGUACGGCUCGUACGGGUAAUGUAAGAGACAAUCUCAUGAAACCAUGUUCUCCUUCUUGCUUUAUAUGUUAAUAGAUUAUAACUACAAAUUCCUUUUGUAAAACAGCGAGAAAAAGUUUUGCCAUUGUUCAAUAUUGCUCUGUCAUCCAGGCUGGGUUUGGAAAUGACAAAAAGCUUCCCGCCAAUCUUCAAGAUAGCCUUUAAAACUAAAUUGACGUGAAUUCUGAGUCAAUAAUCGCUUGAAAAAGUCCAAGGAUGAUUAUGCAAACUAAAUCCAGGACACUGAGGUUUUUCAGUGACCAUAUACUUCAGCAUUUACGGUAAUCUGGGAGCAAGGUUAUCCCAAUUGAUGGUUCGGAGACUGUAAGUGGAGUUGGGGAUGCACUAGGUAUAAGUGGCAUUAUUCGGAGACAAUCGAGUUCUAGCUAUGCCCACCCAAGCACGAAUAUGCUUAUGCAUGAUCAGGUCAGUUAUUGGAAAGUGCUUCUGGAGUCCCCUCCCUGGAUCCCGCCUCUGUCCUCUCCUAGGACCCUACUAGACCCCGC